GGUCUCAUGGUGUAAUGGUUAGCACUCUGGACUUUGAAUCCAGUGAUCCGAGUUCAAAUCUCGGUGAGACCU
This 72-nucleotide transfer RNA is filed under the name Octopus vulgaris (common octopus). It matches the Rfam family "tRNA". Rfam says of the family: Transfer RNA (tRNA) molecules are approximately 80 nucleotides in length. Lineage: Eukaryota; Metazoa; Mollusca; Cephalopoda; Octopoda; Octopodidae. The record is from Rfam by way of RNAcentral. RNAcentral also lists the same sequence under 2 other names.